Molecule: long non-coding RNA, 9862 nt
Organism: Cynocephalus volans (Philippine flying lemur)
Lineage: Eukaryota; Metazoa; Chordata; Mammalia; Dermoptera; Cynocephalidae
Exons: 5
Source: RefSeq, a predicted model, not a curated record
GCCUGCGAACCAGCGGCCGGCGUGACUUACGGUUCUGCGGCGCCCCGGGCCUGGGCGCUGCCGGCCGCCGCUGGCCGGGGAGGGGGCGCCCCCCGGCCGGCGGCCCCCGAGAUGCACGCUUUCGGGCCAAGACAACCCCAGGGAGCCCUUGCCCAGCAGCCAGUCCACACAGGCAAGAUGCUGCCCCAGGGAAAACUCCACACCAGAAAGCAUUCCCCUCUUGCUGGAAAGAAGGGCAACACAGAAGGGGUGGGAGCCAAUGAACCUGAGGGAAGCCAUGGAAGAGACAAGGACUUCCCUCGCCUGCUUACCCAAAGGUCCACCUUCUGAAUACUGGAACCCCCUUUUCACCAGCAGCUCGCAGGACCACUACCUACACCUAAUUCCUGCUACCUUCAGGGCCAGGAGACUCUUGUUGAUUUCUGCGCCCUCCAUGCGGGUCUGCCGGUCAGCACUGGAAGUGUCUGCACCUCGCUCGUUCCCUGCCAGGUCCACCAAAGAGAACUUGCCAUGCAUUCUCCCUUUGGCUCGAAGAAGAAUCUGGAAGCAGGCGUGGGAGCGGGAAGAGUUGGAGUUGGCAAACGUCUGCCCAGAAGUCCUGUGGCAAAGGAGGGCAGAGAAAGUUUAUGAGCUUUUGGGGUCAACAGCCCCCAUGGCACCCCAGAGUCCAAACCACCUCAGUCCAUAGCAAUAGGUUCUUUGGGACCCAGUGUUGCACCAAGAGAAGGUUCUCCAUGCCAGCCCUGAAUACUCACAUGUGUCUUGCCACUUCCUGUCUGGCCAUAUGCAAAACAAGUUGCCUUCCCACCUUCAAAGAUUGUCUGUACCAGUGGCCUUGCAGUGAACCUAGGUGAAAGGAUGGAGAAUAAGGGGAGAACUAUUUGUAUCUGUUCUGAAAAUGUGCUCCUUGGAACACGGUCCUGCUGCCCUUCCACUGCAGAGCUCCCAGGGUCCUUGAUUCCUCCUUCCAAGCACAGCACUGUUCUCCUGACUCAAUGGUACCACCUGACCCCAACCCAUUUACAAAUCUCAAAUACUCUUAUACAACUGGUAUGUGUGUGGGGGGUUGCUGCACUGACCUGCCAGGAGCAAGCUGAUGGCCCACACUCUAAGCCAUGCAUGCAGCCCUUUCUCUGACCCUGGAGACACAAGAUGAAAGUCUGGGGGCCUAAAAUAUUUUAGGCUUUGUGGACCACAUAGGUCUCUGUUACUUUUUUCUUUUUUUAAAUAACCCUUUAGAAACAUAAAAACUAUUCUUGGUUUGAGAGCCAUAUAAAAAGGAGUCAUGGGCCAGCCUGUGGCUCACUCAGGAGAGUGCUGUGCUGAUAACACCAAGGCCAAGGGUUCGGAUCCUAUAUAGGGAUGGCCGGUUCACUCACUGGCUGAGCAUGGUGCUGACAACACAAAGCCAAGGGUUAAGAUCCCCUUACCGGUCAUCUUUUUUAAAAAAAAACAAAACAAAAACGGAGUCAUGAGCCAGAUUUGGCCUACUGGCCAUAGUUUGUCAACCUCUGCUCUAGAGCAGUGUUGUCCAAUAGAAUUUUCUGUGAUAGAAGUGUUCCUUACUGUGCUGUCCAACUGCCUACUGAUCACUUGAAAUGUGGCCAGUGUGACUGAGGAACUGAAUUUUUAAUUUUUUGGUAGCUGGCUGAUAUGGGGAUCCAAACCCUUGACCUUGGUGUUAUAACAGCAUGCUCUAACCAACUAAGCUAACCGGCCAGCCCUCAAUUUUUAAUUUUAUUUAACUUUUAUUUAGAGCCAUAUGAGACUAGAGGGUGCCAUAUUGGACAAAGCAUAUCUAGAGUUCCCUGUCUUCUAAGCGCAGGGGCUACAGAGGUGGCUGCAUAAGACACUGGAGCCUGCCCAGCCCUGCUUCAGAGCGUAGAGGGUAAUAACUCACUUGUGAUCCACUCUAGAAUGGGCUGCUAAUGCUGCAAAAGGGGAUGUGGCAGGCCCCAAAUGAGGCCUUCCUUGUGCUAGGAGCCAGAGCUCUGAACUCUGAUGGCUGACCCAUAGAAAACACAAGAGGAGGCCAGGAAGGGCCUCAGAACUCAGCAUGUCUGUGAGUAGUGUCCUGCAUCAAAAAGGAGUAGGUGGGCAGGAGGGAGACAAGAAGAAGAAAAAAAGAGGCAAGGGACUAACCUGUAAACGACUUCAUUUGAAGCUGUUUCAUCAAAUGCAAAGUCAAAGCAGAACACUUGGUUCUCCAGAUACUUUGUUAAGUCCACUUUUAAUUUGGGUUCAUGUACCAAGAGAAGACACUUGCUAGGAAUGGAGAUCACAUCAGUUUCUUUCUUGGCCAGUUCUGCAGAAGGAGAGUAGUACAAGGAGUGCUCUCUGGAUACAGAGGGACCCUCAAUGGGAAGUCUGUCUGAUUGAACAGGGCUUACCUUGUUUAUUCAGUGGACGUUUUCUAACACAGACACAUAUCCUGUGUUCUUCAGUCUGCAAAAGGACAAGAGGAGACAACCAACCAGCAAAGAGUCAGAACAAUGUCAAGAGCUUGUCUAGACCCCUCCCCUUCCAAUCCUAUAUCUGGCCCAGUCAGGGACCAACAUUCCCUCCCCUUAGCUACUCCAGAGCACAAGAAAGUAACUCUGAUUUUUUCCCCCAGUUUUCUCACUUUGCUGCCUCCAGGAAGUUCAGCACCACUUUCGAGAUUAUUAGUAAGAAUCUAGCCAACCUAUGUAGUGGGAGUGGGGCACAGUUUGUAAAGAUCAGACCUUCUCAAUCUUGGCCUCACUAGCUCCAGCCCACCAAAGAGUAUCAAAAACAAACUCAAGGGUGAGUGAAGAUUUCUGCAUGCUCUCAUUCCUGUAAAGGGAAGUUUUCUGUCUCUCAACUGUAUACUUACUCAAGGAAGAGAGGUAGAGGUCCUCUGGAUUUACUUACAGGAUCAGUCAUAGUAAGUGGAUGACACUCCAAAGUAGCCCGAAAUUCUUUAAUCAUUCGGGCAAAUUCCCAGUUUGGAAAGCUGCUUUCAUACUCCUAUUUGAGACAGAGUAAAAAAGACCAAAGUAUAAAAGACUGUUAAGAUGUAAGUGCUCUCAGGUCUCAGUGCUAAGUGGUAGCAACAGUUCUUUGUAUGCACAGGACCCCUCAUAGCUGACAAAACCCCCACCUUGGCUCUGGGCUGAGAACCCAGGUACAAAGCCCUGGGGAACAGAGAUUAGCAGGAGGGCCUAGGCAUGCACCAAACCACCCUGGGAACGAGGACUAUUGCCACUGUUCCACAUCUUAAGAGCCACAGCAGCAGGCUGGGCUUCCCCAGAGCAAUUAACCCAACUAUGGGGACUCUAUUGCAAUUUCCCCCCAUAUCCUGCCCCUGGCAAUAUACACAACUGUGAGGAGAGUGGGGGUAAGCAGGCAGCUGUGCCCAGCAGCCCCUCUGGCUGUUGCAUCCUGAGAGCAUGUAAUAGGUCCGGGUACUAGACAAUAAGCAUUAUAUAUUCCUCAUCUGAAGGCCUUCAGAAAAUUUUCUAAUUUGUUCUCUGAAUCAUGAUGAGAAAACAGUUAAACUUCCUGGAUAUCAGAAUUGGAGCCUCAGACAUGUUGGGGCCCCACUGUGUCUCUGUUGCCUGUAGGGUUUCAGUUAAGGAUGCCUUUCUAAAAACCCCUACCCAAAUCUCCCAAGAAAGGUACCUGAGCUCGCUUCAUUCUCAUUUCAGAGUUCUGGGCCCUCUUCUCUUCUCUCUUGUUCUUCAUUUUUUCCAUUUCCUUCACAAUACAUGAUUUCCUCCGAACUAGGUGAUUUAAAAUAAAAAAAAAAAAGCCCAUUCUUUUCCCUGUCUAGGCCAGCCUUCUCUUCUCUGGCAGUUUUAUUGAGUCCUGGGCCUUUCCCAGGAACAGGUCUUCUCUAGAUCCUUGCUCUUAAAUCACUAAAUGAAUAUAUACAAGGAGAAGCAGCAAUAGAUGUGACUCUUGGGAUGAACAAGUCCACAAAGUAAUGGCUUGACUAAUAUGAGAUCAGAGUAGUGAUAAUAGCACUCCAGUUCUAACCUGAACUCUCUGUAUGCCUCUGUGGCUUUUUUCUCAACACCAUAAAGAGGUAAGACAGUCCCUGCUUGGUCUUGAUAGUCACUCUAGGCUGAUCUUCAGGUGUUGGCCAAGAUCUUACCUGUGACAAUACCUCAACUAUGUCAGAGGGCUUCUGCCCAAUCUUUCACCUCUUGUGAAAGAUUGAUUCCAUGGUCACAGGAAAACAUGCCCCAUGUGACAAACAGGGUUUGAACUCAGCUAAGGCAGGCUAGGUUUGGGACAGGAUGUUAACCACUUGUCCUGUGCUAGGAGCAGAAUAGCAGGCAGCCCAGCAUGUCUACCUGAGCUCACAGGGUUUGCAGAAGAGCUGCCUCGGAUGGAAUGGACUUUCUCUUCCACCUCCUCGCUGACCACCGUCAAUGGUAUUUCAGCCACAGCAGGGCAGGAGGGCCUAGGGGGGCCAGCUGUGGGGGAAUAAGAGUCACUGGAGAAGCAAACAGGUAUUUUGCAGCUGUCCUCAUCUGAGCCCUAGUGGGUCAUGGGCCGGGAGGAGGGCUACUGCCUGCCAGCUUGGCCAGGGCUCAGACUUUUGAGCAGGUAUGAGCAGAGCUUGGGCUUUUCCCUUCACCUUAGCCCACAGCCUGAAGUCAACCACCCUCUUUGCAAGGGCUGGCUCCAGGGGUCAGGUAUCUUAAAAGGUGUGUAAAUAGUACAGUAUGGGCUUUGCCAUGAAGGGAAAAGCCUUUGGAGGCCUGAACUUUCCAGACUUAUCCAAGCGUAGGUUCUCAGGCCAGGCCAAGCCUUUCUACCCAUUUAGGAGAAAAGCCAGAACUUUCUGACUUCUCCAAAGCCUCGGAAACCCAGGUGGUUAAUAGGAGCAAAGACUGAAAAGCCAGGGAUGACAGGAAACUUGGGCAACAAUUAACUGUAUUGAUUCAGUGGAAAAGUACAAUCCAUAUCACCUCAUUAAUUCCCAUACCUAGAGAAAUGAAAUGAUCCUUUCAUUUAUUUACCUUCAUCUUAUUAGAGUUGAGUUUGAUACGCGUAAAGUGUAAUGACUGUAUAUCUUAUAAAAUCUGCACACACUUUACAUAUUUACUAAAGGUUAAUAAUUCACUUAAAAAUAUUUUUGAAAUUCCAUUUAUAUAAAGUACACAAAAAGAAAAAGCUGUAAGAAGUCAGGAUUGUAAGGGCCAGCCCGUGGCUUACUUGGGAGAGUGUGGUGCUGACAACACCAAGUCCAGGGUUAAGAUCCCCUUACCGGUCACCUUUUUUUAAAAAAAAGAAGUCAGGAUUGUAGGUACCCCACAAAAAUUGUAGGGGCCUAGGACCUGGAAGUAUGCCUGAGUGGGACUUUUGGGGUGCUGGUAAUGCUCUGAUUUGGCUAUUAUAUGAAUGUGUUCAGUUUUUGAAAAUUCAUUGAACUAUGUACUCAAUGAUAUGUGCGCUUUUCUGUAUAUAUAUAUUAUGUUUCAAUUAAGUUUUAAAGAAGGUAAAAUGUAGGGCUGGCUGGAUAGCUCAGUUGGUGAGAGCAUGGUGUUCUAACCAGGGUCAAGGGUUUGGAUCCCCAAACGAGCCAGCUGCCAAAAAAAAAAAAAAGGUUCAGUGACAUUUCCAUCUAAGGAAAUCAUGGCUGGGGCAGAACAGAAUAGUACUGAAGCCAGGGGAGUGGGGGAAUCCUUGGACCUUCUAGCACAGAGACAGGCGAUAUAUAUGGAGCCUGCUCUAGGGCCUCAAACAAGGAGAACACAUUCAUUACUCACUGGGAACUGAAAACUGCCUGCGGGAGUUUGCAGGUGCAGGCAGCUCCACCUCCAUAUUAUUCUCCCGAGUGCUGAUGUGAAUCUCUGAGAGGGUGGACAUGCGACUGGAGCGGCUUCGAAGACCUGAAGAACCAAGGGCAGCAGCCAAUCAGUGCUGCAUGAUAGGAGGGCUGACACGGGCAGGAGGAGAGUGGACAGGGGCAAACCUCCAAGGUUCUGCACAAGCUGAGAUGGGACCCAGCCGCCAAAAAAGGAGCCAACCAACACCCCUUUCCUUCCAUCCAGGGAAAGGAAAAAACUAAACCAAGUACCAGUGACCUCAAAACUUAUUUGUUCAAAUCCUGCAAAUCCAAGAGCUCCUGAGGGCAAAGAUAUCUUGAGUAAAUGGAGGGAACUACAGCCAAUCUGAAAUAAUUUCUGGAGAGACAGACCUAAUCCAAGUCCUUGAGAAAAAGUAUUAUUAAUAUUUUUAUUUUUUUUGGCAACUGACCAGUAAGGGAAUCUGAACCCUUGACCUUGGUGUUAUCACCCCAUGCUCUAACCAACUGAGCUAACCUGCCAGCUUAUUAAUCUUAACAACAUCAGUAUCUACCAUUGUAAAAUCUUCCUGUGUCUCAAAACAACAUAAGGUAAAUAUUGGUACCCUCAUUUCAUGGAAGAGGACAUUAAGGCUCAGAGACAUUAAGUAACUUGUCCAAUAUCACUCAACUGGUAAGUGCCAGAGCCAGGAUGUGAACCCAGGGCUGUCAGAUUACAAAGCCUGGACUUUCUUCAUUGUUCCAAGAUGCUUUACAAAGCCAGGUCUGGGCCACAUCAGCAGAAACCCAUGGGAUCAGCUAUACUGAUUUUCUGGACUCUUAAAGAAUGCUAAAGUGAGAGAAACAAUUUAUACUUUAAUUCUUGUCAAUUUCUAUCCAUCUAUGUAAUUCCUCUCCAUAAGGGAGAGACAAUUUGUCACCUAUGAAAUACAUCAAGUCAUAAAUUUGGAAACAGAACAUAGCGUCACAUAGGCAAACAUCAACUUGUACUGAAUUUCUGAGCAUCAGAGGUUUAAGUUGAUGGCUCUAUAUAAUUCAUGUCUUUCAUAAAGAGCAUGAAUUAUUAUAAUUUUCAUAUUUCCCAAAUGAUUUGUAAUGUUGUGUUUCAUUUCUACUGUUGAAUAGCAUGCACAUUUAUGAAGAUUUUUUUCCAUUAAAAGGAGCUGUGAAGGGCUGGCUGGUUAGCUCAGUUAGUUAGAGUGAGGUGCUGAUAACACCAAGGUCAAGAGUUCGGAUCUCCUUACCCACUAGCCACCAAAAAAUAAAAAUAAAGGAGCUGUGGCAAUAUCCCUUGGGGACAGGAAUGUGAAAUGGAGCCACUGCCAUUUCCAUCUCUCCUGCAGGCCCAUAUGCUACAACCAUCAAGAGAGGGCCAAUACCCCACCACCCAGGCCCAAAUCAAGCUCACAAUGGCACCACCUUCCACCCUGGGAAGUGCCAGAGCUGGGAUGUGAACCCAGGGCUGUCAGAUUACAAAGCCUGGACUUUCUUCACUGUUCUAAGAUGCUUUACAAAGCCAGGUCUGGGACUGUAGUCACAGUCUACCGUAGCCAAAGUAGGUUUACACUUACUACUUCUGCAGGGAAAGCCAACCCUCCCCUAGACCAUGAGGCAUUGCCGUUAUUCUCCUCAGCCCCUCUGCCCCCCUGGUCUCCACAGCACCAUCAACUGCACUUCCAAACAGCCCAGACCUAGAUGUCUGCUUUCUUCACAGCCUCACUCCAAGGCACACUGCUCCCCUGAGGAGGCUGAGCCCUGAGGAAAGAAAACAAGCCUGCCAGUAGCUGAUUCUCCUAACACCAGGCUCUGGAGUCUACAGGAAAGGCUUCUAGGCCGGUGAGCAAAUUUCCCAAAUGCACCAGGUCCCUUAGAGGUUGGCCAAUAGCUGUAGGUUGGAUUCUUUCUCACUGAGAAAGAUUCUUGGAACACAGGGUAGGAUUCGGCCCAUAUAGAAGCCACCUGCUAAAGUGGACCAGUGAGUCUACUUCACAGCUUCCACAACUUUGAGCACCAGGAAUAUCAUUCCUGGCACAAGCUCUAUGACAAGAAGCCAGUGGAAAUCCAUUUACCUUCUUUUGGAGCAGGAAUUUUGGAGUUGACUGAUCUGCGUUUUUGUUUCUGAAAAACAAAACAAACGACAAUAUAUGGCUCUUAUCAAUGCUCACAGGCCUAUUCUGGGCCCAGGUGCUGUGCUGAAGUCCCAGGUAGUCCCAGAAAACAAAUCAGCAAAGAGCCAACAAGCAAAGUAGCACUGGCUGCAGCCAAAUGACAGGCACCUACCUGGACUGUUACAUUUUCCUGCAGGGGCAGAUUGUCUUUUGGGUGUAAGGGAAGUAGCUGUAAGAGCUCUGGGUUUAUUGCAGCCACAUCAUCAAAAUCAACCUGCAAGGAGCAAGUAAAAGUUUCAGUGAAACAGUUUGUUCAACUCAAAUGCAUCUCUAGGGACUGGUGUUGGUUAGAGCAUGGUGUUAUAACACCAAGGUCAAGGUCAAGGGUUCAGAUCCCCUUUGGACAGUCACCAAAACAAAUGAAAAAAACCCAAAUGCAUCUCUAAAACCAACGCUACCCCUAGAUUCAGACUUACCAACUUUAAGUUCCACUAAGAACUAAUAGCUAUAAAACAAAUAAUUAUUCCUUAGUAAUGGUUUACCAUCUAGAUGGAUGUUUCUAAUUUCCAAGCCAAUGGUAGAUGUCAGUGAUGAGAAUGAGGUGAAGAGGAAGGCAAACAGGCAGGCAAACAGGCAGGUAGUUCACGGUAGAUCUAGGCCACUUGGCUCCCGAACUGUUCUGCUGGGCAGUGGAGUACUGCUGGGCACAGCCCCCUAAGCACCUCUUGCUAGCUGACACAAAGGAGGAACUGAGUUCUAAUUGUCUGGUGAUAUUUAAAAUGGAGGGCCCUUCAGGAUCUUAUGGGCAGGGACAAGUUCCCGACAGAUGCUACCUAACCCUAAGUCUACCUACAUUUUCUGUUGGGCCCAGAAACUUCUUCCCCAGUCACAGCUUCCUGCUCAUGCCUUCCCUAUUUCCUGCUCAUGCCCACAGUGAGGUCACAAUUCUAGAUUUACAUCAUCAGUGCCCUGCAACCCUCUAGGAAUAACUCAAAAGUUCACCAGCAUAACUUCACAGCAGGUUCAAACACACCAAAUUAGUCCCAACUUGGUUAUAUGUAUUUCAGAAUGUGACAGAGCUGAAUUGUGUACUACAGGGUGAGGGUUUUAUGCAACUUCUAUUUAUUAACUGGCCUAUUCAAACAUUUAUUAAGUACGAGUAAGACAGUAGCAUGCAGGGGGAAGGUUGCUGUCAGCCGUCCUGCUAUAGGGAAAGGCAUGGAAGGCUGAGGAGUGAUACCGCUUGUUUUGCAGGCUACAAGGGGGUCCCAUGUGUGUGGUACGGUUCCAUGGAAGUUCUUGUUUGUUCACCUUUGGUUGCUUGACACGGCUUCCCAGAAUUAAACAGCCUAACCUUUUGGCUUAGUAUGGCUUUGGGAAAUUCCCUGGAGUUUCUCAAAGGACAUGUUAAAAUACAUCAAAAUUAACUGGUUUAUUUAAAAGAUACUGUCAGUACUAAAGGUGUUUUUGGUGCAUGUUCCAGGUAUGGGUUGGCUCCAUUCAAUUUUGUCAUUAAUCUUCCUUGUUAGUGAUGUGUGCAUGGACCCAUUGUGGCUGUGGUCAUGCUCUUGUACCUGUGGAAUGAAGCUAUUAUGUUAGGUUUCUAUUUACAUUCCCCUAGGGAGAUGGUGGGUCCGAGUGCAGUAAUGUUUAUAACUAAUUGAUCAUCAACCAGUUACAGAUUUCUUUGUUUUUCCCCACUCCCAUAGUUACACUUGAUUUACCAAGAACAUGUUGUUUCCCUAGUAAUAAUAAGAAUGAUAUAUUGCGUUUUUGUUAGUUUGAGUAGGAUCAUUUAACUUUUCACUUUGUUCCUUGUACUGUUCCCAGAGUCAAUUGGUAAAAAAAUUAGAAAGUUUUACUAUAAAGAUGAAUAGCUAAAAUAAUAAAAAUAUUAAAAAGUUUUUGAUAUUAAUAGAUUAUGUUUAGAUUAGUUUAUAGUAUAAUUGUUUUUAAUAGUAGUAUAAAAUAUAAU